This is a non-coding RNA of Oryzias latipes (Japanese medaka), 3735 nucleotides long. The record is from RefSeq and is a predicted model, not a curated record. Lineage: Eukaryota; Metazoa; Chordata; Actinopteri; Beloniformes; Adrianichthyidae.
AAGUAGUAAAACCACAAGCUCCCCGCUCCACUCCAUUUUAGCCCUUGUGGGGUCCAGAUGACCCCCACUCCCAAGACAGUACAAGGAAAUGAAGCAUACAGAUGUUAGAGGAUGAAACAGGACUGGAUGUUCACUUCCUUCCCGCUCCCGUUCAUUACGGUCCAGCUCCCUUAUAUUUUUGUCUUUGUUAUUAUUUGACUCUCGCGAAUUUUUAAAAAUCGUGUCCGACUUUCCCACCAGAUCUCUGAACGUGACGUCAAUCAUCCUGACGCCACAUUGGACGUCAUGGUUUCCGUCAUCACGCUUGCCGUGGGCUGCAGUUGUCUCCGUCGCUGACGUUGAUAGAUGAUCGCUGCGCUUUAGAUUUUAGUGGGGGGACCGUCACUCAGAACACAGAUGGCUUCUGGGUAAUGUAGUAGUCAUUUUUUGUCAAUGGAGUUUCAAAGGGAUAAUGGGAAAUAAGCGGAGGCUUACUUCCACACCAACAGACUCGUUUUAUGGAGACUCUGUCAUUGAAAAUCAGGCUUUGGGAAAAGAUCAAAAGAUGAUCUUAAUUCUUUUAAUAAUCUCUCAUAAAUUCUGUUUUCACUUCGGUAUCCGACUGAGAUCCAAAUCAAAAUCCCUCCCCUGACCACAGAUGGAUGCGGUUACCGUGGUGACGAUGUCUGAAGGAUGCAGCGAUUUACUGAAUGAAAAGUGUGGGAAGUGGGGUCCACAGAUAGAUGUCUCUUCAUACUGAGGCUCUAAAUCAAACCCCUCUGAUUGGUGAAUACAUUUCCUAUUUAAAGGUGUGUGCGCUUUGCAUAACGACCUGCUAGCCUUUCUUAAAGCUGCCAGAACGGAAGCUGAGCAGAUGAUUAACUGCAUAAUGAUGAGCAGGCCAGAGCGGACGGCAGCGGGGUUUGAACCCCGUCAGCUGCGCCUGUCCGUCAUUAUUCCGGCCUGAAGUGUUACUGCCGGUCUGUUAGCAGAAGAAAGGAUAUUAGCGGCCGAAAAUGGUCCUUUAGCGCUCAUGCAAACACAUUUUAAUCCUCGUUAGAUCCCAUCUACCUGUGCCGUUAACAUGCAGCAAAAUGAAUGUUUAAACAGCCCCCCGGAGGAGGAGAAUUUGUUUCACACAUUUAUUCAAUGCUGCAUUAAAAAGAGAUUUUUAAAUAAGGCUUUGCAAGGAUAAUGAAGGAUAAUAUGGACUCCCUGCUGGAAAACAUUCCUCUUUUCACCUAUGAAUAUUUGCAUCUAAUAAACUCUGGAGGAGACGGCAAAUAUCCCAGAUUUAGGUUAAAGGAGGAUUUCAAAGUGGGCCAUUGCCGCUUUGAUUAGUUCAAACAGUUUGCUUUGAAUGUGCGAGCAGGAAACUCCAACGUGAGACGGCGUCAGCUUCCUACUUCAGAGAAAAUAGACCUUCAGGAGGAGACGUCCACGCUGAAAGGCAGAACCUGCUCAAACCAACACAACCCAGAAGGAACGAGGGAAUUAAAAAAAAAAAAAAAUAUCUGCCACACAACCACCAAUGACAUUUAUUUUGUUUUUUUUUAAAGAGAGCAGAUCAAAAAGAGCACAGGAAGUAUCAAACUAUCAAAAUCCAGAUCAUCCAAGGAGGCCAAGCUGUCUUAACUUGAUAGUAGUGCCCGAAUAGUAAACCAACAUUGAACAUCAAAGAGUUUUUGGAAUAAAAUCCAGAUUUACAGAAACAAAAAGGAGAAAUCGAGACCAAGAGCGUCCAACCUUUUUACCCUCAGUGUUUCGCGGAUGGCAGAGCGCUUGUCAAACUCAUACUGUGAAAGUGUUCAUGCACAGCUUUUUCUACAGGCGUGCUGCAGGCAACAGGUGGUGGAGAACACUCUCACAACAUUAAAGGGUGAAGUAGGUAAGAUGUAGGGAUUUCACAUUUCUUCAACCCUCCGAAUCCUGUUGACUGCAAAAGCUAGUGCUGUUCAUGUGAUACGUGCGCGUUCCUUGCAUGCAGCCUGACUGUUAGAAAUAAGGAAAUUAAACAAUCAGAGUGUAUUUUGUGUGGACAUCCUACAUGCACAUGCGUGCCACCUAAGUGCACGGUCAGUAAGGAGCCAGUACUCACACCGUCCGACAGCAUCACCUGGACCUCCCAAGUGCGAGUAGCUUCCAUUAUCCUUCCAAAGACUUCCCGGUACACCUACCACUCGCACCACAAUAGCACGUCCUUUGUUUACCCAUUGAGGUGGCCGUAUUAGACCCUAGGGAACUUCAAGACAAACCUACACCUCAAUUCUAUUCUAUUUAGCUCAAAUUCACAACAACAGUUGUCUCAAUGGACUUAAGAUGUGGCUGCUCUUCUCUACAACCCUCCACGGGGGGUGGGGGGGGGCACACUAUACAACCCCUGCAUGUGACUAAGGCUUUAGGAUGUCCGUCAGUUCACCGCGUCCUCAACAUCAGCAGUUUAAUGACUUUUUGAUUCCAAAAGACUUGAAUGCAGACAGGUGCAUGUUUGCCCCACGACACUCAUGAGGUCAGAAAGAGCAACAUUUCUAUCAAGUUUAGCUCUUCUGGCACGAGCUGGUUAAACUAGAUCAAACUCUAAAAUUAAUUUGUUUUUGUUUUUUUCCCCCACAAAAGAUCUUGGAAUGCUGUAUGAAUCUAAGAGAGAGGAGUUCAAGGAGGCGUGGUGCUCAGAAGUGAUGCAUUUCUUCUAAAGCUUCGCUGGAAAGUACAUUUUGUGAAGCAGCUUUGGACAUUUUUCCCACUGAGUCAAACUACAACAGCAACAGUUAGGCAGCUACACCCAAAUCCUCCAGGGUUUUGUCUCAAAGUGCAGAUCGGACCUCAGAACCGAACGUCAACCUGACAGCGCAGCGUGUGACGAACGUUACAGCUUCUGCUUUAUGAUGAACUUCAUUUCUGCAGAUUAAACCAGCAAACAAUGGAGCCUUUUAACUCUCAGCAGGGAGUCAAAAGAUGUCGAGACACAACAGCACCCUUGGAGACCACCUCCACUUAUUGCGGAUCUGACAAUUUUCCAAAAAGAAAAUAGAAACCACUGUGUUAGCAUCCCGUAUGAGCGCCUACAUGAGGGUGAGAGGUAGAGGGAGCUCAGGAAAUUCUUAUUCUGAAAUAAAUGUCAACAUCCAUAAAGGUUCAUAACAGAUUUUAAAUCAUAACAGUAUAUCGGACAUAACUAACAUAAAAUGAGGAUUCAUAUCGCUAACAUUACAGGACACCUACCUCUACGCUGGACGAUAAGAAAGAAAGGGGAGAGGGAAAGCAAGCGCCAAACUUAUGAAGGGAAAACCAGCGAAGAAGAACACAUUAAGGGGCUACAACCCAACACUGAAUACAGGGGGGAAAGAAACUUAGGGGCACCCAAUAUUUUGUGUAAUUAAAACAAACAGAUCUCAUCCUGUUACACUUGGCUCCAGUUUUCUGGCAGAUGCCUUUCCAGAUCCAGCCAUCUUCAUUUGCCGACAAUUGGAAUCCCAGGACAGCGCCCUCUUCAGGCUCAGAGCACCUUAAUGGUGGUUUCCUAACCAAACUCAACCCUGUUAAGCAUCAUUUUGAAGGCGGUACGGCUGUAUAAGCUAGUCCACACAUUUGUCUAAGACACACGUUCAUCAGUCUAUUAUCAGCACAUUGUUCUAAUAUUCAUCAAUGUUUUAAACAUUUGUGUUUCCAUAUUUCAUGGAGUAUAAGUCGCUUUUUUUUUGCUAAAUUCUUUUUGCUUAAUUCUCCCUGAUGUUUCAUUAAAACAGACAUUAAUGU